GAUGAACGCUGGCGGCGUGCCUAAUACAUGCAGGUCGAGCGAACGGACGAGAAGCUUGCUUCUCUGAUGUUAGCGGCGGACGGGUGAGUAACACGUGGAUAACCUACCUAUAAGACUGGGAUAACUUCGGGAAACCGGAGCUAAUACCGGAUGAUAUUUUGAACCGCAUGGUUCAAUAGUGAAAGACGGUCUUGCUGUCACUUAUAGAUGGAUCCGCGCUGCAUUAGCUAGUUGGUAAGGUAACGGCUUACCAAGGCAACGAUGCAUAGCCGACCUGAGAGGGUGAUCGGCCACACUGGAACUGAGACACGGUCCAGACUCCUACGGGAGGCAGCAGUAGGGAAUCUUCCGCAAUGGGCGAAAGCCUGACGGAGCAACGCCGCGUGAGUGAUGAAGGUCUUCGGAUCGUAAAACUCUGUUAUUAGGGAAGAACAUAUGUGUAAGUAACUGUGCACAUCUUGGCGGUACCUAAUCAGAAAGCCACGGCUAACUACGUG
RNAcentral lists this ribosomal RNA (497 nucleotides) under uncultured bacterium. RNAcentral describes it as "partial 16S ribosomal RNA". It matches the Rfam family "Bacterial small subunit ribosomal RNA", at positions 28 to 507 of the family's 1533-position model. The record is from RNAcentral.